ACUACGGGUGGCAGCAGUGGGGAAUAUUGCACAAUGGGCGCAAGCCUGAUGCAGCCAUGCCGCGUGUGUGAAGAAGGCCUUCGGGUUGUAAAGCACUUUCAGCGGGGAGGAAGGCGGUGAGGUUAAUAACCUCAUCGAUUGACGUUACCCGCAGAAGAAGCACCGGCUAACUCCGUGCCAGCAGCCGCGGUAAUACGGAGGGUGCAAGCGUUAAUCGGAAUUACUGGGCGUAAAGCGCACGCAGGCGGUCUGUCAAGUCGGAUGUGAAAUCCCCGGGCUCAACCUGGGAACUGCAUUCGAAACUGGCAGGCUAGAGUCUUGUAGAGGGGGGUAGAAUUCCAGGUGGAGCGGUGAAAUGCGUAGAGAUCUGGAGGAAUACCGGUGGCGAAGGCGGCCCCCUGGACAAAGACUGACGCUCAGGUGCGAAAGCGUGGGGAGCAAACAGGAUUAGAUACCCUAGUAGUC
This 465-nucleotide ribosomal RNA is filed under the name uncultured Klebsiella sp. RNAcentral's name for it is "bacterial SSU rRNA". It matches the Rfam family "Bacterial small subunit ribosomal RNA", at positions 338 to 795 of the family's 1533-position model. The record is from RNAcentral. Lineage: Bacteria; Pseudomonadati; Pseudomonadota; Gammaproteobacteria; Enterobacterales; Enterobacteriaceae.